This 573-nucleotide ribosomal RNA is filed under the name uncultured bacterium. RNAcentral's name for it is "partial 16S ribosomal RNA". It matches the Rfam family "Bacterial small subunit ribosomal RNA", at positions 355 to 919 of the family's 1533-position model. The record is from RNAcentral.
UGGGGAAUUUUGGACAAUGGGCGAAAGCCUGAUCCAGCAAUGCCGCGUGUGUGAAGAAGGCCUUCGGGUUGUAAAGCACUUUUGCCCGGAAAGAAAUCCUUGGCUCUAAUACAGUCGGGGGAUGACGGUACCGGAAGAAUAAGCACCGGCUAACUACGUGCCAGCAGCCGCGGUAAUACGUAGGGUGCAAGCGUUAAUCGGAAUUACUGGGCGUAAAGCGUGCGCAGGCGGUUUGCUAAGACCGAUGUGAAAUCCCCGGGCUCAACCUGGGAACUGCAUUGGUGACUGGCAGGCUAGAGUAUGGCAGAGGGGGGUAGAAUUCCACGUGUAGCAGUGAAAUGCGUAGAGAUGUGGAGGAAUACCGAUGGCGAAGGCAGCCCCCUGGGCCAAUACUGACGCUCAUGCACGAAAGCGUGGGGAGCAAACAGGAUUAGAUACCCUGGUAGUCCACGCCCUAAAACGAUGUCAACUAGUUGUUGGGGACUUCAUUUCCUUAGUAACGUAGCUAACGCGUGAAGUUGACCGCCUGGGGAGUACGGUCGCAAGAUUAAAACUCAAAUGAAUUGACGGGGU